This 514-nucleotide ribosomal RNA is filed under the name uncultured Flavobacterium sp. RNAcentral describes it as "bacterial SSU rRNA". It matches the Rfam family "Bacterial small subunit ribosomal RNA", at positions 9 to 524 of the family's 1533-position model. The record is from RNAcentral. Lineage: Bacteria; Pseudomonadati; Bacteroidota; Flavobacteriia; Flavobacteriales; Flavobacteriaceae.
GAGUUUGAUCCUGGCUCAGGAUGAACGCUAGCGGCAGGCUUAACACAUGCAAGUCGAGGGGUAUAGGUUUUCGGACCUAGAGACCGGCGCACGGGUGCGUAACGCGUAUGCAAUCUGCCUUUUACAGAGGGAUAGCCCAGAGAAAUUUGGAUUAAUACCUCAUAGUAUUAUGAAGUGGCAUCAUUUUAUAAUUAAAGUUCCAACGGUAAAAGAUGAGCAUGCGUCCCAUUAGCUAGAUGGUAAGGUAACGGCUUACCAUGGCGACGAUGGGUAGGGGUCCUGAGAGGGAGAUCCCCCACACUGGUACUGAGACACGGACCAGACUCCUACGGGAGGCAGCAGUGAGGAAUAUUGGUCAAUGGGCGCAAGCCUGAACCAGCCAUGCCGCGUGCAGGAUGACGGUCCUAUGGAUUGUAAACUGCUUUUGUACAGGAAGAAACACUGGUUCGUGAACCAGCUUGACGGUACUGUAAGAAUAAGGAUCGGCUAACUCCGUGCCAGCCGCCGCCGUAAG